RNAcentral lists this ribosomal RNA (1046 nucleotides) under Salmonella enterica subsp. enterica serovar Alachua. RNAcentral's name for it is "partial 23S ribosomal RNA". It matches the Rfam family "Bacterial large subunit ribosomal RNA", at positions 711 to 1757 of the family's 2925-position model. The record is from RNAcentral. Lineage: Bacteria; Pseudomonadati; Pseudomonadota; Gammaproteobacteria; Enterobacterales; Enterobacteriaceae.
AGACCCGAAACCCGGUGAUCUAGCCAUGGGCAGGUUGAAGGUUGGGUAACACUAACUGGAGGACCGAACCGACUAAUGUUGAAAAAUUAGCGGAUGACCUGUGGCUGGGGGUGAAAGGCCAAUCAAACCGGGAGAUAGCUGGUUCUCCCCGAAAGCUAUUUAGGUAGCGCCUCGUGAAUUCAUCUCCGGGGGUAGAGCACUGUUUCGGCUAGGGGGCCAUCCCGGCUUACCAACCCGAUGCAAACUGCGAAUACCGGAGAAUGUUAUCACGGGAGACACACGGCGGGUGCUAACGUCCGUCGUGAAGAGGGAAACAACCCAGACCGCCAGCUAAGGUCCCAAAGUCAUGGUUAAGUGGGAAACGAUGUGGGAAGGCCCAGACAGCCAGGAUGUUGGCUUAGAAGCAGCCAUCAUUUAAAGAAAGCGUAAUAGCUCACUGGUCGAGUCGGCCUGCGCGGAAGAUGUAACGGGGCUAAACCAUGCACCGAAGCUGCGGCAGCGACACUGUGUGUUGUUGGGUAGGGGAGCGUUCUGUAAGCCUGUGAAGGUGGCCUGUGAGGGUUGCUGGAGGUAUCAGAAGUGCGAAUGCUGACAUAAGUAACGAUAAAGCGGGUGAAAAGCCCGCUCGCCGGAAGACCAAGGGUUCCUGUCCAACGUUAAUCGGGGCAGGGUGAGUCGACCCCUAAGGCGAGGCCGAAAGGCGUAGUCGAUGGGAAACGGGUUAAUAUUCCCGUACUUGGUGUUACUGCGAAGGGGGGACGGAGAAGGCUAUGUUGGCCGGGCGACGGUUGUCCCGGUUUAAGCGUGUAGGCUGGUUUUCCAGGCAAAUCCGGAAAAUCAAGGCUGAGGCGUGACGACGAGGCACUACGGUGCUGAAGCAACAAAUGCCCUGCUUCCAGGAAAAGCCUCUAAGCAUCAGGUAACAUCAAAUCGUACCCCAAACCGACACAGGUGGUCAGGUAGAGAAUACCAAGGCGCUUGAGAGAACUCGGGUGAAGGAACUAGGCAAAAUGGUGCCGUAACUUCGGGAGAAGGCACGCUGACAC